Transfer RNA from Gossypium raimondii (Peruvian cotton), 83 nucleotides. It matches the Rfam family "tRNA". Rfam says of the family: Transfer RNA (tRNA) molecules are approximately 80 nucleotides in length. Their secondary structure includes four short double-helical elements and three loops (D, anti-codon, and T loops). The record is from Rfam. NCBI's taxonomy places the organism in Eukaryota, Viridiplantae, Streptophyta, Magnoliopsida, Malvales, Malvaceae.
GCUGGUUUGCUUGAGUGGUUAAGGGGAUAGACUUAAGAUUUGUUGCACAUAAGUGCGCGUGAGUUUGAACCUCAUAGCCAGCA